This 957-nucleotide ribosomal RNA is filed under the name Thaumatoperla sp. BYU_PL109. RNAcentral describes it as "eukaryotic LSU rRNA". It matches the Rfam family "Eukaryotic large subunit ribosomal RNA", at positions 693 to 1895 of the family's 3401-position model. The record is from RNAcentral. Lineage: Eukaryota; Metazoa; Arthropoda; Insecta; Plecoptera; Eustheniidae.
AUUGGGACUGCACUAAACCUAAAGGCGGUAACGAAAGUGAAGGCGUUCGGCGCGCGUGCGCGUCCGUCCCCCGGGGCGGGCCGCGCGCGCGUCGUCGCAGAGGGGGGAUUCGACCCGUUCUACAGCGACGCGGUCGACGCACCCCCGCGGCGUCUCGUUGUCAUUGCGACACAGCAGGCGCACGCAGAGCGUACACGUUGGGACCCGAAAGAUGCUGGCACUCGGAGUUUUAUACAGAGCGGCGCGCGCCCGGGCAACCGGACGCGUGUCGCACGUAACCAGUCUCAUCUGGUAAAGCGAAUGAUUAGAGGCCUUGGGGCCGAAACGACCUCAACCUAUUCUCAAACUUUAAAUGGGUGAGAAAUUCGACUUGCUCGAAUAAAAGUCAAAAUGAUGAAGUCGAAUGAUACAAAUAUGAGAGGAUGAACGAGCGGCCAAGUGGGCCAAUUUUGGUAAGCAGAACUGGUGCUGUGGGAUGAACCAAACGUCGAGUUAAGGCGCCUAAAUCGAUGCUCAUGGGAUACCAUGAAAGGCGUUGGUUGCUUACGUCGUUGAUGUGCAGUCGAAUAAUCGGUCGAAGGUCUGCGACACAAAAACGAUUAUGACCACAUCGGGCGAAAGGGAAUCCGGUUUCUAUUCCGGAACCCGGCAGCGGAACCGACCAUGCGGGCCAAUGUCGCAGCGAUGCGGCAACUCGUCGGGGUAACCCAAAAGGACCCGGAGACGCCGUCGGAUGAUCGGGGCAGAGUUUUCUGUUCUGUAUGAGCGUUCGAGUUCCCUGGAAGCGCCUAGCGCGGAGAUAGGGUUUGGAACGCGAAGAGCACCGCACUUGCGGCGGUGUCCCGAUCUGUCCCUCGGACCUUGAAAAUCCGGGAGAGGGCCACGUGGAGGUGUCGCGCCGGCUCGUACCGAUAUCCGCAGCCGGUCUCCAAGGUCAGGAGCCUCUAGUCGAUAGAA